GUGGGGAAUUUUGGACAAUGGGCGCAAGCCUGAUCCAGCCAUGCCGCGUGUCUGAAGAAGGCCUUCGGGUUGUAAAGGACUUUUGUCAGGGAAGAAAAGGGCGGGGUUAAUACCCCUGUCUGAUGACGGUACCUGAAGAAUAAGCACCGGCUAACUACGUGCCAGCAGCCGCGGUAAUACGUAGGGUGCGAGCGUUAAUCGGAAUUACUGGGCGUAAAGCGGGCGCAGACGGUUACUUAAGCAGGAUGUGAAAUCCCCGGGCUCAACCUGGGAACUGCGUUCUGAACUGGGUGACUAGAGUGUGUCAGAGGGAGGUAGAAUUCCACGUGUAGCAGUGAAAUGCGUAGAGAUGUGGAGGAAUACCGAUGGCGAAGGCAGCCUCCUGGGAUAACACUGACGUUCAUGCCCGAAAGCGUGGGUAGCAAACAGGAUUAGAUACCCUGGUAGUCCACGCCCUAAACGAUGUCGAUUAGCUGUUGGGCAGCAUGACUGCUUAGUAGCGAAGCUAACGCGUGAAAUCGACCGCCUGGGGAGUACGGUCGCAAGAUU
RNAcentral lists this ribosomal RNA (549 nucleotides) under uncultured bacterium. Its description in RNAcentral is "bacterial SSU rRNA". It matches the Rfam family "Bacterial small subunit ribosomal RNA", at positions 354 to 895 of the family's 1533-position model. The record is from RNAcentral.